Long non-coding RNA from Cygnus olor (mute swan), 295 nucleotides. RefSeq lists it as uncharacterized. The record is from RefSeq and is a predicted model, not a curated record. The transcript is spliced from 3 exons. Lineage: Eukaryota; Metazoa; Chordata; Aves; Anseriformes; Anatidae.
AGCAGCUGCAUCUUCGCUGUUGCCAUUUCUUCCAUCACAAAGCUCCUGUGGAACAUCUCUCAGGAAAACAAGCCUGGAUGCAUCAGAGAGCUGGCAACACACAUCCACCAGAUAAUUAGAUUGAAAGAAAACCACCCCUCUGAAGACAAUGAGAUGAUAAAAGAGAUCAAGAAAAAGGAAAAAGAGCAGAUGCUGGUGUCACCACUCAGUGGGGACUUCUUUGUCUUCCAGGAGGUCAUCAUAUGGGGACAGCAGUGUGGGCACGCACCUCACUGCAAGCAACGCUUUUCCAUCA